UAGGGAAUCUUCGGCAAUGGACGAAAGUCUGACCGAGCAACGCCGCGUGAGUGAAGAAGGUUUUCGGAUCGUAAAACUCUGUUGUUAGAGAAGAACAAGGACGUUAGUAACUGAACGUCCCCUGACGACAUCUAACCAGAAAGCCACGGCUAACUACGUGCCAGCAGCCGCGGUAAUACGUAGGUGGCAAGCGUUGUCCGGAUUUAUUGGGCGUAAAGCGAGCGCAGGCGGUUUCUUAAGUCUGAUGUGAAAGCCCCCGGCUCAACCGGGGAGGGUCAGUGGAAACUGGGAGACUAGAGUGCAGAAGAGGAGAGUGGAAUUCCAUGUGUAGCGGUGAAAUGCGUAGAUAUAUGGAGGAACACCAGUGGCGAAGGCGGCUCUCUGGUCUGUAACUGACGCUGAGGCUCGAAAGCGUGGGGAGCAAACAGG
This 429-nucleotide ribosomal RNA is filed under the name Gemmatimonadota bacterium. Its description in RNAcentral is "Gemmatimonadetes bacterium partial 16S ribosomal RNA". It matches the Rfam family "Bacterial small subunit ribosomal RNA", at positions 355 to 776 of the family's 1533-position model. Lineage: Bacteria; Pseudomonadati; Gemmatimonadota. The record is from RNAcentral.